GAUCGAGUGCUUCGCUUUGCAGCACUGUCCCUAUUUCAAAUAACUCAUAUCGAUAGCAACAUGUCAUCAAUGUUUUCCGUACAUCUCUAGCUGCGAGACAGACACGAAUUAAAAAAAUUAAGGCGAUCGAAUAGCGUUUAAAUUAAACAAAAUUAAGUGUUGAAAUUAAGUUUCGAACAAAUUAAAACAAAAAAAAACUCAAGCUGAGCAACCAAAAUUCUCAGUAAACGUGCAGCGUGUGAACACAAAUAAAGAAAUUUCUUUCUGAGAGUGCAUGUGUGUGCGUGUGUCUUUGUUUGUGUGUGUGUUGGCUGCUGUCUAUGUGUGUGUACGUACGUGAGAUUCAUUCAUUCCCAUUACGUGUGUGAUUUGGAACAGGGUAAAAGUUAACCAAAUACGAGUAGAAAAGCAAAAAGCAACAAGCUAAUCCAUGACUUGUACAAUUUGUUGUGGCUUAAAUUGUCGAAAUAGGUGCUAGCAAUGUAGAAUUGCUGUUGGCCCCUACGAAAGGGGGAGGAGGGGCCAUGAUAUAAAAACAAAAAAAAAAAACAAACAAACAAAAAAACAUUAAAACAAAUUCAUAUACUAAAUAUUAAUAUUUGCGCCGCAAAUUAAAAGCAAAAAUAUACUUAAAAAUUUCAAGAAGAAGCAGCAACGAAUAAAUACGUCAAAAAAUACCAAUACAAAGGCAAAUUGGAAUUUCAACGUGUGUGUUGUGUUCAACAGAACAAAUUAAAAGCUCAGUCGUCAAAAAGUGCCAAAAGAGUCGACAACAACAAUAAGAAAAAGAAAACGAAAAAUAACCAACGACAACAACAAAUAAUUUGAUACGUAGAAUUAUGAACGUAGAGCAGCAAUUGAAGACACCGCUAACGCAGAUACGUAAUUUGGUCAAGCACGUGAACAAACGAAAUUUUAAUGAGAGCAGCGAGCAAAUCAAGCAGUUUAUACAAGAAUACGGCCUCGAAGCGGAUCGUAGCUGUCUGCGUUAUCUGUUUACGGUAUUAAACUUGCAGGAUUCGGCUCCGAACGUUGCUUCCCAGCUGCAGGCGAAGCUGCUUGGAGCCCAUUUGCAGCGUCAACUGCAGAGCUCGUCGUUUGUGACCAACAUUUGCAUUGCCUUCGAUCAGCACUUUGCCAAACAAAAGGGCUUGAAGCCGUUUGCUCUUGCCGAGCUCAUUGGACAGGUUGCCAAGUUAACCGGCAUUAACAAACUUUGCGAGUGCAUAUUUGCGCUAGCGGUAACUCACAGCUCUCAUCCGGAGCUACGUCAGUGUGCACGUGAGAGUCUCCGGCAUCUAUUACCCGAUCUGCUUGAUUCGUAUUUGGGUCAAAACGCCGCUGCCAGUGGAUUGCACGAGAUCUCAUUUGAUCUGUUGCAGUAUUUGUUGUGUUGCCUCAACGAAUACGUAUCACCGCAGUUGGAGACGCAGUUUCUGAAUAAGUUGCGGGACGAAUUUCCGCGGGAAGCGGUGCCAUUGGUUCUAGCGCCGAUUUUAUAUCGCAGCGCCGUAACGACGACGACGACUACAACGACGUCCAGCUCCAAAUCCAACGAAACUGAUGCAGAGGAAGAAACGACGACCACGAACACGAAUACGAAUACGACGAACACGAGCAGCAGUUGGAGCAGCUCCGAUGCAGAUAAUCUGAAUGAAGUUGGCAUUGAGGAUAUCUAUGACCAUUUAUGCGAGAUAAUAUUUACAAAACAGGGCAAAAAUAAUAUUAUGGACACAUCUUGGAUUAAUUUAAUCCUUGAAAUCGGUUAUGAAUUUACAUCGAGUGUUGAAGAGUGCAAGAAUCAUUUGUGUUGCGGCGGCGCCUCCCGCGAAGUCCAGCCCAAGGAUGUGGCCAAGAUUAUUGGACUCAUGUGUCGACGACACUCGUCGCUCCUCGAUUGCAAUGUAAAUCUACCGACACCAGCCAACUUUUGGCCUGGCCAAGGACAGCAAGGUGGCAAUGGUUCGGCUUCUGCUUCACAAUCCGCACAACAACAGCAAAGCUCGAACAACAACAACAACGAUGGCAGCAGCGAAUCUAGCAGCUCGGCCAGCGACAAGAAGGACAACAAAAAGGAGACGACAGAUGCAACACAAACAUGGAAGCCAGAUGUCUUUGUGCAGGCCCUCAAGGAGCUGGUGCCACAGCUCAACUGGAAGGAUGUCUGCAUGGAGUUGGAUCAUCCCGAGUUUGUUUUAAAGGAUCGCAUCGGUUUGGAUCUGCUACUGACGAUCUUAAGAUUGGCCACGCAAUCGAAUCUGUUUCCACAACCGGAAUGCAUUUAUCGCCAUUGGGCGAACACCGAAGGGCAGCUAUCGUUGAUAACGAUAAUGCUGAAGAAUCCCGAUUUGUUCAGCUUUGCCGACUACGUUUUCAGUCAACCGACAUUGGAUGUGCUGAAAACGCCACCUGAUGCAGAUAAUAAAGAGAUUGCGGCAUGGAAAUCAUUACAUUUGGUUGAAGUUCUGCUUUCCAUUGCGGAUAAAGGUUAUUUUAGUCAAGUGCACGAACUGUUCAAAUUCCCAGCACAGAAUUGUCCCGAUGUUUUGUUUCUGGCAUUGCUGCAUAUAAGUCCGCCAUUGACACCACUCAGACAGGAUCUAUUCAAUCAGUUGAUACCCACAUUCUUGGGCAAUCAUCCCAAUUCGAAUGUGAUCUUGGCCAGCGCCUGGAGCUCAACCAAUUUCCAGCUAAGACCGAGCAUUAUGAACGCCAUGUCCGAAUGGUAUUUGCGUGGCAGCGAAUUUGAUCAAGUGAAAUUGUCACGCAUUUUGGACUUGGCUCAGGAUUUGAAGGCAUUAUCCUCAUUGCUCAAUGCUCGCUCCUUUAUGUUCAUCAUUGAUCUGGCCUGCUUGGCCUCGCGUCGCGAAUACUUGAAGCUGGAGAAAUGGCUGAGUGACAAGAUACGCGAACAUGGCGAACCCUUCAUUCAGGCCAUGAUCAAAGUGCUGCAACGUCGCUGUCCUCAGGUGACCAACGCCAAGUUGCCCGAGGAUCAGUUGCCGCCGAAGCAAGCGCAAUUGUUGCCGGAAACGGUGACGACGAUGAUCAGCUGUUUGCAGGCGUGCAUCAACAGUUGCAUGCAGCCGGAAAUAGCCGAAAUGAUAAUGCAAAUGGUGGCCAAUGUGGCCAUAAAAGCACGAGCGGCACAGCAGCAGCAGCAACAACAACAACAACAACAACAGCAGCAGCAACAACAACAACAACCACAAGGAUUGGUGCCACCACCGCCGAGCAUUAUGCGUGGACAUCGUGGCAUGGAUCUGCCAGGCGGUGGCAUUGGGCCCGGCUCCGUGCCACCUCCGCCGCAGCCACAGCAACCCUUCUCCGGCAACCUAAAUGCACAGCAAAUGUUUGGACCCGGCGGCAUGGAUCCGUUAACCAACAUGUCCAACAAUCUGGCUGGCCUCAAUCUAGGCGGUCCAAAUGGCGCCUUUAACUUUGGCAACAUGCUGACAUCUCCGUCACGUCUUAUGAAUCCCGGCGCAAACCCGUAUCCGCCCAUUCCCCUACAGAUCCCAGCACCACCGCCACCAAAUGUGGGCAAUCUGGGACGUAUGCUGCCAACGGGAGGACCGGGACCGGGACCAGGAGGACCACAACCAACACAAGCAACGCCUCCAAAUCAACCGAAUAGUUCAGUGAUGGCCGAUCUACAGAUGCCCGUGUCCAAGGAGGUAGAGGAUGAGGCAAAUUCAUACUUUCAGCGGAUCUACAAUCAUCAACCCAAUCCGACGCUUUCCAUUGAUGAAGUGCUGGAUAUAUUGCAACGCUUUAAGGAAUCCAGCAAUCGACGGGAACAAGAAGUCUUCCUUUGUAUGCUGCGUAAUCUAUUUGAGGAAUAUCGCUUCUUUGCCCACUAUCCUGAAAAGGAGUUGCAAAUAACAGCUCAACUCUUUGGCGGCAUCAUUGAUCGCAAUCUAGUGCCCACAUUUGUGGCAUUGGGACUCUCAUUGCGUUGUGUACUCGACGCUCUGCGCAAACCCGAUGGAUCCAAGCUCUAUUACUUUGGCGUGACGGCCCUGGAUCGCUUCAAGACACGUCUACAUACCUAUAACAAAUACUGCGAACAUAUACGCUCCAUACCGCACUUUACAGACUUCCCCCAGCAUCUGAUCCAGUAUGUGGAGUAUGGCAUGCAUGGCCAGGAGCCACCGCAACAGAAACUCAUUGGUCUGAGCAAUACAAUACCACCAGCAAUUGCUCAAGGAGCAGCUGAGCCUUUGUACCGUGCCAAUUCCAUGCCCGGCGCCAUGUCAGCUGCCUCCAAUGUCCAGAAACCUGCUGUUGUGGUUUCGCAUGCGACGAGAAUGAAAUCAAUUGCGAAUGCGACCAACAUAGAUACAUUGCUGGUGGCAAACCAGGAGGAGAAGGUAACAGUGCCGCCGGAACCGGUGCAGGACAAGACGGCGUUCAUAUUCAACAAUCUGAGCCAGUUGAAUAUACCGCAGAAAUGUGAGGAGAUCAAGGAGAUAAUGACCAAGGAGUAUUGGCCCUGGUUGGCACAAUAUUUGGUAUUGAAACGCGCCUCCAUGGAAUUCAAUUUCCAUACACUCUACUACAACUUUUUGGAUGCCCUCAAGAAUAGCGAAAUCAAUAGAUAUGUGACCAAGGAAACAUUGCGCAACAUUAAAGUGUUGUUGCGUUCCGAUAAGGGUGUCAUUAAUUUCUCGGAUCGCAGUCUCUUGAAGAAUCUUGGCCAUUGGCUGGGCAUGAUGACACUGGGACGUAAUCGACCCAUUUUGCAAUUGGAUUUGGAUUUGAAAUCCUUGCUGGCCGAGGCAUAUCACAAGGGGCAACAGGAGUUGUUGUUUGUGGUGCCGUUUGUGGCUAAAAUCUUGGAAUCUUCCGCUAAAUCGCGUAUAUUUAAAUCGCCCAAUCCCUGGACCAUGGGCAUUAUGUUUGUUCUAGGAGAAUUGCAUCAGGAACCAGAUUUAAAGCUCAAUUUAAAGUUUGAAAUUGAAGUGUUGUGUAAAACAUUAAAUUUAGAGCUGGAUAAAUUGAAGCCGGUUAUAUACUUGAAGGAUCCAACGCGUGCGUUGACUAUAGAACAACAAAUGUCACAGCCAAAGUCAAAGAUAUUGGAGGGAAGCGCAGCACAACAACAACAACAACAGCAGCAGCAGCAGCAACAACAACAACAGUUGCAGGCACAGCAACAGCAACAACAGUUGCAACCGCAGCAGCAGCAGCAACAACAACAACAGUUGCAGGCGCAGCAGCAACAGCAACAACAACAAUUACAAACUGUUGCACCUCCCGUUUCGGCUGCCAACUCAGCCGCCAAUUCAGCUGCUGAAGUUGAUGCCGCCAUGUUAAUGAACAACUCUAAUAACGGUGGUGGUGGUGGAGGAGGAGGAGCUGUUGCCUCUCCCAAUCUUCCCACAGAUGCCAGUCAGGUGGUUUUACCGCCACCGGAGCCACGUUAUUCCUAUGUGGAGGUGAAUGUGUCCAAUUUCCAGUUGAUUGCCCAGCAAUUACAAUUGCCAGCGAAUAUACCAUUCUUGCAUGCCAAUCCGGGUAUUAAACACAUUGUGGUGAAUGCCAUUGAACGCACUAUAACCGAUUGGCUGCAACCUGUUGUGGAUAGAAGCAUUCGGAUUGCUUGUGCCACCACCGAACAGAUUAUACGCAAAGAUUUCGCCUUGGAUGCGGAUGAGAAUCGCAUGAGAACGGCAGCACAUCAAAUGGUACGCAAUCUGGCCGCUGGCAUGGCCAUGAUAACGGGCAAGGAUGAGAUUGCACGUGCUAUCAGUCAGAAUCUGCACAAGGCUUUUAUGGCCGCCUUAACGGGAGUGCCCAGCAUGGCGGAUAUACAAGCAGCCUCCGUGCAAUUGGCCAAUGAGAAUGUGGAACUGGUCUGUGCAUUUAUACAGAAAACAUCGGCAGAGAAAUCCGCACUAGAAAUUGAUCGACGUCUGUCCACGGACUUUGAGACGCGUAAGAUUGCCCGGGAGGAGGGUAGUCGCUUUGUGGAUGCCCAAAUCUUGAGCUAUCAGCAGGAACGUCUGCCGGAGCCAGUGCGUCUCAAGGUCGGACCAGCACCGCCCACUUUAUAUGCCGUCUAUUCGGAGUUUGCCCGCAGUAUUCCCGGUUUCCAGCAGAUGAGCGAUCGUGAUAUCGCUCUCUUUGUGCCGAAGCCACAGGAUCUGCAGAUACCGAAUGUGUUUGCCAACGAUGAGAGCAGCAUGGUCUAUGCCGAGGUGGCCAGCAAAAUGGAAGCGUUCAUGAACACGGCCAUCAAUAUGCCCACUCUACAGCUGCAGGCCAGCAAGAUGCACAUGCUCCUGGCUGCUUUGAUGGCUACACGUCGUUUGCGGGAUCAGGAAUCGGCCUUCAAUCUGUUGACACGUGCCGUGGAGGGUUUAACCGAGGGAUUGAUCAAUGUGCAGGAUCAUCUGGAGCAAAUGAAGCUUUACAGGGACAUCCAUCUGCGCAUUCUCAGUCUGCUGCACAACAGCUUUGGAGCACCCAACACUGAGCGAGCGGUGACCAAAUGCUUCUUUGAUAUUCGCGAGGAAGUGCGCUAUAAUGUGGAGGCGGCUCGAGCUCUGAUCACAUCGCAUUUUGUGAACCUCAACCAAUUUGAUGGCAUGUUGAGGGAUUGCAUGGAUAAUGGCAAUAACUAUGUGGCCAUAUCCUUUGGCAUUGCUCUCCUCGAGCGUUUGAUUAUGGAGGAUCGUGCUAUCAAUAUUGUAUCUGAUAAUGAAUUCAUGGCCACCGUAGAACUACUGGGUCGUCUCACACAGCAUCGUCAUCGCUAUCCCGAGUGCAUUGUGAAUGCCAUCGAGACUCUCUGGUCCGGCAAUCUCAAUGCCAGCGACUAUGGUCCAUUCAAUCCCGGCGAGCGUUAUCUCGCCGGCACAUCGCACUACAUUCACUCCGGCAUGCAUCACGUUAGGUCAUGCGACACAGAUGAUCCACCAGGAUUGCAGGAGAAGACGGAGUUCCUGCUCAAGGAUUGGGUUGCCCUCUACACCCAACAGAAUCAGCAGACGACACGCGAUGCCCGCCACUUUGGGGCCUUUGUCCAGAAGAUGAACACGUAUGGGAUUCUAAAGACGGAUGAUUUGAUCACACGCUUCUUCCGUCAGGCGACGCACAUUUGCACGGAUGUUGUGUAUCGCAUGUUUGCGGAGCCAAGUCUGCCAAUUAAUCAGGCCAAGAAUAAGAUAUUCCAAUGGAUCGAUGCGUUUGUGCAUUUGAUUGCGAUGCUUGUCCGGCAUUCCGGUGAGGCGGGAAAUCCGACGACCAAGAUCAACCUGUUAAACAAAGUGCUGGGCAUUGUGUUGGGCACAUUGCUCAAGGAUCACGAGAUGCGUGGCGUGGGAUUCCAGCAGGUGGGAUAUCAUCGCUUCUUUAUGAUGCUGUUCAUGGAAUUGUGCUCGGCGGAUGUGAAUCUGGAGUCCUUGAUGCACAGCAUCGUGUCGGCCUUUGCCUACACAUAUCAUCUGCUCAAUCCGAGUGUUGCGCCGGGCUUUUGCUUUGCCUGGCUGGAAUUGAUUUCACAUCGCGUCUUUCUGGGUCGCAUUCUGGUGCAGAUACCUGGACAAAAGGGUUGGCCAUUGUAUUCCCAACUGCUGCAGGAUCUCUUUAAGUAUUUGGCUCCAUUCUUGCGCAAUACAGAGCUCGGAAGACCCGUUCAGAUGCUCUAUAAGGGCACUCUGCGCGUUUUACUGGUGUUGCUACAUGAUUUCCCAGAAUUCCUGUGCGAUUAUCACUUUGGUUUCUGCGAUACCAUACCGCCAAAUUGCGUCCAGAUGCGUAACAUUAUACUAUCCGCAUUUCCACGUAAUAUGCGUUUGCCGGAUCCGUUUACGCCCAAUCUGAAAGUGGACAUGUUGUCGGACAGCAGCAAUGCGCCCAAAGUCUGCAGCAGUUACAUCAUGAACAUACAGCCGCCCAACUUUAAAAAGGAUCUCGACUCGUACUUGAAGGCCCGUGCUCCGGUCACAUUCCUCUCGGAGCUGCGGGGUCAUCUGCAGGUGACCAGCGAGCCCGGAACUCGAUACAACAUGACCCUCAUGAAUGCCCUGGUCAUGUACGUGGGCACCCAGGCCAUUGCUUUGAUCAGGAACAAGAACUUUGUGCCGAACACAUCGAACAUUGCCCACAGUGCUCACAUGGACAUCUUCCAGAAUCUGGCCGUUGAUCUGGACACCGAGGGUCGCUAUCUGUUCCUCAAUGCGAUUGCCAAUCAGUUGCGUUAUCCCAACUCACACACACACUACUUUAGCUGUGCGGUGCUCCAUCUGUUUGCCGAAGCGAAUUCGGAGGCAAUUCAGGAGCAGAUUACACGUGUGCUUCUCGAGCGCCUCAUUGUGAAUCGGCCACAUCCUUGGGGACUCUUGAUCACAUUCAUUGAGCUCAUCAAGAAUCCCAUUUACAAAUUCUGGGAGCAUGAUUUUGUGCACUGUGCACCCGAAAUUACCAAAUAUUUUGGUGAAUGUCUGAUUGUAUUUAAUCGAUUUGAACCAUUGAACGGCAUUCAGUGUGCAGCAUAGCAAGAGCAUUAUUAAUAAUAGUAAUUAUAAUGAUAAUGAUCAAAAUCGAAUCUAUUCAUUUUGCAUGUAUCCAACAAAUACCAAAAUUUUUAUUCAUUAUUGAUUUUCGCAAAACUUUAAUUCACAAUGACCAAAUAUCGAAUAUAUAUAUAUAGAUAUAUGAAAAUAAUGUGUAAAUAUAUGCAUAAAUAUUGUUAUUUGAAUCCGUGGCAAGAUCCUGCCUGGCCAAAUCGAAUGUUAAUCAGCAGCUGAAUAUGGCCGUUGAUGGCGAGAAUCAGGAAGUUGUCAAUAUUAACUGAUAAGAUAACCUGGAGCAACAACCACAACAGCAACAACAGUAGCAGCAAUGGCAACAAACAUAAAAUCAAUUAUAUAUAUAUAAUAUACUAACAAAAUGUGUUUAGUUUUUAGUAAAUCGUUUUAAGCAAAUAAUGAAACAAUGAAAAUACGCUGAGCAAACCGAAAAAUCGAAAAAAAAAAAAGAAAACAAAACAAAGAAAAAACUGUUAAAUACGAUAAAAUUUAAACUGUAUUUAGUAGUAAUUGUUUUGAGAUAUGAUAUAAUAUGAUAAUCGAAAAAAAUGAGAACAUUUUAAAAUGCCCGCAAAUGUUAAAACAAAUUUUUAAUUGAGUUGUAUUAUAAUUAUAAAUGAAAUUCCUGUAUUUACCUGUGGUUUUAUACCGGUUCACAAUGCAACUAAAGUAAAAAAGAAAAAAACACACACAACAAAAAAAAAACUAUCUUAGAAAUUAAUAAAAAAAAAAAUACAAAAAAAAAACACUUGAAAAAAUGUGGAACAAAAAAACUGUAAAAUGUACUCGAAAAUGCAAAAAACUAACAAAUGCGAUGUAAAUAUGUAUGUAGUUGUUGUUGCUAUUGAUAAACCACAAAAAAUAAAAACUGAUAAUAAUAAAGGCAGCAACAUUAUUAUUAAUGAAAAGACAUGGCAGCAACAACAAGCACAUAUAAUUUAAAAUAUAUAUAUAUGUUUGCACAUAUAACUAAAAAACAUGCUUAAUUAAUUCUCAUCAGUUAUGUGUAUUUCUUAUUGUUUCAAACCAAUAUCAAGUCAAUAAUAAUUCAAAGAAGAGCUGUUUAAUUUUAUAGAUCAUCUUUUUUGCUAAAAAGUAAAUGCAUCUAGAUCUUAUAUUCUCGCCAAUUAAUUUUUAAACUGUUUAAAAAUUAUCUUUAAAGUUAUAUACAAUACAUAUAUAUAUAUACAUAAUAAAUGCAACUUAAUUUUUUACUAUUAUUAACUAAAGAAAUGAUAAUGAAAACGAUACACAAAUGAUUGCAUUAAAACUCAUACCUUGUUAUUUGCAUUGGAUCAGAAUCGGAGAUGUAUAAAUAUAUAUAUAUAUAUAAAUGCAUAGAAAGAAAGUACAUAAAUCUAUAUAUAUUAUAAAAGAAAUGUAAUACGUAAAUGUAAAGCGUUUAUAUGAUGGAUUAAGAUUGAUGAUUGAUUGAUUAAGAAGCAACAAGUUUAUUUUAAACCUUAAAAUUUCUAUGUUUAAACUAUUUUAAAAGUUAAUUAAAUGUUAUUAGCAAUCAACACUGCAACAACAGCAACAUUAGUUUAUACACACACACACACACAUUAAAUGUAUUUAAAUGUAUCUGAAAUUGAUGUGAAAUAAUAUGUGAAGCAGACUAACCCAAACAUACACACACACACACACACAUACAAUACCAACUCAUUUAUAGACUAAUUGAAUUAUGCAGCCAGAACAACAACAACAACAACCACAUUUGAUAUCAUCAAUUGCAGUUACAAUGAUAUCAAAACUCAAUAAAAAAGUGGUAACAAUUUCCGAUUCUUAUGUAAAAAACACAGUAAAAAAAGAUGAAAAGCGUGAAAUAUAUAAUAAAUAUAUAAAUAUAUGAUAAUCCAUUACAAUCGAAAUAAGUAACAUUAUGCAAUAAGAGAAAUAAUAUUAAAUAUAUGUAUAAAUGGCAAAAUUUUA
Drosophila innubila is the source of this 10469-nucleotide RNA transcript. It is a transcript of the gene named CCR4-NOT transcription complex subunit 1, with no coding region annotated. NCBI's taxonomy places the organism in Eukaryota, Metazoa, Arthropoda, Insecta, Diptera, Drosophilidae. The transcript is spliced from 14 exons. The record is from RefSeq and is a predicted model, not a curated record.